GGUGCUGCCCAUGUGUGAUAUGCCGAUUCGAAGCUCUUGGCUGCGAUGAGAAACUGUGGUUUGGUUGAAUCUCCUGCUAAGAAGAAUCAUCAGCACGUCCUGCAGUUUGCUGCUACCGCCAUGUGUGAUCGGGUUCCCAAGAGUGCUGCAGAGACUAACAAGUGUGGAUGCAAGUUGCACAUGAUUCCAACAGGAAAUGAAGAGUUCAGUGAAAUGAUGAAUUGUAAAAUGGUGCAAGUCCCACUAGCGAAGAUAGCAUUCAUGGGCUUGAAAACAGACCAAAAUACCGUGCACUUCAAUUCU
Molecule: non-coding RNA, 303 nt
Organism: Musa acuminata subsp. malaccensis (wild Malaysian banana)
Lineage: Eukaryota; Viridiplantae; Streptophyta; Magnoliopsida; Zingiberales; Musaceae
Source: RefSeq, a predicted model, not a curated record